UCAAGGUAGAAGAUGUUGAUUACAAUGUUUAGUGGCUCUUGCAUGCAUACCUGUUUAGAUUUCAAAGAUCCAUAUUACUUUGUCUUCUCCUUUGUGUUUGCCUGCAGAUUCUAAUGUAGUCCAAUGCACGAGCACUAUUAUUAUUGUUCACAUCGUUCGGUCGUGCAAGUGAAAGGCAAUAAUGACGAUAUAUGAUGAAGUGAGCGAGCCUGGAAAAGCUGGUAUGAACUC
This 231-nucleotide long non-coding RNA is filed under the name Hordeum vulgare. Its description in RNAcentral is "long non-coding RNA (HVUL_LNC005317)". Lineage: Eukaryota; Viridiplantae; Streptophyta; Magnoliopsida; Poales; Poaceae. The record is from RNAcentral.